Molecule: ribosomal RNA, 370 nt
Filed under: uncultured organism
Description: partial 16S ribosomal RNA
Rfam family: Bacterial small subunit ribosomal RNA
Source: RNAcentral
GUAGGUGGCAAGCGUUGUCCGGAAUUAUUGGGCGUAAAGCGCGCGCAGGCGGUCCUUAAGUCUGAUGUGAAAGCCCACGGCUCAACCGUGGAGGGUCAUUGGAAACUGGGGGACUUGAGUACAGAAGAGGAAAGCGGAAUUCCAAGUGUAGCGGUGAAAUGCGUAGAGAUUUGGAGGAACACCAGUGGCGAAGGCGGCUUUCUGGUCUGUAACUGACGCUGAGGCGCGAAAGCGUGGGGAGCAAACAGGGAUUAGAUACCCUGGUAGUCCACGCCGUAAACGAUGAGUGCUAAGUGUUAGGGGGUUUCCGCCCCUUAGUGCUGCAGCUAACGCAUUAAGCACUCCGCCUGGGGAGUACGCCGCAAGGCUG